Molecule: ribosomal RNA, 584 nt
Filed under: bacterium enrichment culture
Lineage: Bacteria
Description: bacterial SSU rRNA
Rfam family: Bacterial small subunit ribosomal RNA
Source: RNAcentral
CUCAGAUUGAACGCUGGCGGCAUGCCUUACACAUGCAAGUCGAACGGCAGCACGGGAGCAAUCCUGGUGGCGAGUGGCGAACGGGUGAGUAAUACAUCGGAACGUGCCCAAUCGUGGGGGAUAACGCAGCGAAAGCUGUGCUAAUACCGCAUAAGAUCUACGGAUGAAAGCAGGGGAUCGCAAGACCUUGCGCGAAUGGAGCGGCCGAUGGCAGAUUAGGUAGUUGGUGAGGUAAAGGCUCACCAAGCCUUCGAUCUGUAACUGGUCUGAGAGGACGACCAGCCACACUGGGACUGAGACACGGCCCAGACUCCUACGGGAGGCAGCAGUGGGGAAUUUUGGACAAUGGGCGCAAGCCUGAUCCAGCCAUGCCGCGUGCAGGAUAAAGGCCUUCGGGUUGUAAACUGCUUUUGUACGGAACGAAACGGCCUUUUCUAAUAAAGAGGGCUAAUGACGGUACCGUAAGAAUAAGCACCGGCUAACUACGUGCCAGCAGCCGCGGUAAUACGUAGGGUGCAAGCGUUAAUCGGAAUUACUGGGCGUAAAGCGUGCGCAGGCGGUUAUGUAAGACAGUUGUGAAAUCC